GACGAACGCUGGCGGCGUGCUUAACACAUGCAAGUCGAACGGAAAGGCCCUGCUUUUGUGGGGUGCUCGAGUGGCGAACGGGUGAGUAACACGUGAGUAACCUGCCCUUGACUGUGGGAUAACUUCAGGAAACUGGGGCUAAUACCGGAUAGGAGCUCCUGCUGCAUGGUGGGGGUUGGAAAGUUUCGGCGGUUGGGGAUGGACUCGCGGCUUAUCAGCUUGUUGGUGGGGGAGUGGCUUACCAAGGCUUUGACGGGUAGCCGGCCUGAGAGGGUGACCGGCCACAUUGGGCCUGAGAUACGGCCCAGACUCCUACGGGGGGCAGCAGUGGGGAAUAUUGCACAAUGGGCGGAAGCCUGAUGCAGCAGCGCCGCGUGCGGGAUGACGGCCUUCGGGUUGUAAACCGCUUUCGCCUGUGACGAAGCGUGAGUGACGGUAAUGGGUAAAGAAGCACCGGCUAACUACGUG
This 468-nucleotide ribosomal RNA is filed under the name uncultured bacterium. RNAcentral describes it as "partial 16S ribosomal RNA". It matches the Rfam family "Bacterial small subunit ribosomal RNA", at positions 28 to 507 of the family's 1533-position model. The record is from RNAcentral.